This 458-nucleotide ribosomal RNA is filed under the name Xanthobacteraceae bacterium. Its description in RNAcentral is "bacterial SSU rRNA". It matches the Rfam family "Bacterial small subunit ribosomal RNA", at positions 399 to 875 of the family's 1533-position model. The record is from RNAcentral. Lineage: Bacteria; Pseudomonadati; Pseudomonadota; Alphaproteobacteria; Hyphomicrobiales; Xanthobacteraceae.
GCGUGUGUGAUGAAGGCCUUAGGGUUGUAAAGCACUUUCGCCNGNGAAGAUAAUGACGGUAACCGGAGAAGAAGCCCCGGCUAACUUCGUGCCAGCAGCCGCGGUAAUACGAAGGGGGCAAGCGUUGCUCGGAAUCACUGGGCGUAAAGCGUACGUAGGCGGGUCGUUAAGUCAGAGGUGAAAUCCUGGAGCUCAACUCCAGAACUGCCUUUGAUACUGGCGACCUUGAGUUCGAGAGAGGUUGGUGGAACUGCGAGUGUAGAGGUGAAAUUCGUAGAUAUUCGCAAGAACACCAGUGGCGAAGGCGGCCAACUGGCUCGAUACUGACGCUGAGGUACGAAAGCGUGGGGAGCAAACAGGAUUAGAUACCCUGGUAGUCCACGCCGUAAACGAUGGAUGCUAGCCGUUAGGCAGCUUGCUGCUUAGUGGCGCAGCUAACGCAUUAAGCAUCCCGCCUG